This 142-nucleotide transfer RNA is filed under the name Anopheles merus. RNAcentral's name for it is "tRNA tRNA-Tyr". It matches the Rfam family "tRNA". From Rfam's summary of the family: Transfer RNA (tRNA) molecules are approximately 80 nucleotides in length. Their secondary structure includes four short double-helical elements and three loops (D, anti-codon, and T loops). Further hydrogen bonds mediate the characteristic L-shaped molecular structure. tRNAs have two regions of fundamental functional importance: the anti-codon, which is responsible for specific mRNA codon recognition, and the 3' end, to which the tRNAs corresponding amino acid is attached (by aminoacyl-tRNA synthetases). tRNAs cope with the degeneracy of the genetic code in two manners: having more than one tRNA (with a specific anti-codon) for a particular amino acid; and 'wobble' base-pairing, i.e. permitting non-standard base-pairing at the 3rd anti-codon position. Lineage: Eukaryota; Metazoa; Arthropoda; Insecta; Diptera; Culicidae. The record is from RNAcentral.
CCUUCGAUAGCUCAGUUGGUAGAGCGCUGGACUGUAGAGAAAAUUCGGAGCGUUGCUUUCAAGUCAAAAUGCACUUGAUCAAACACCUCCAAGAGUUGUAAAAGAAAUCCAUAGGUCACUGGUUCAAAUCCGGUUCGAAGGA